RNAcentral lists this unclassified non-coding RNA (564 nucleotides) under Desmonostoc danxiaense CHAB5868. Its description in RNAcentral is "partial contains 16S-23S ribosomal RNA intergenic spacer and 23S ribosomal RNA". The stretch from base 280 to 352 matches the Rfam family "tRNA". The record is from RNAcentral. Lineage: Bacteria; Bacillati; Cyanobacteriota; Cyanophyceae; Nostocales; Nostocaceae.
AGGGAGACCUACCCAACUUUGAAAUCGAGGACACACAGUUAAUAGAUACAAAGAUGGUCAUUCCUAGGUCGGUCGCAGGGACUUGUUGAAGCUUUCAAACUAUGAUUUGGUUCGUUUAUGGGCUAUUAGCUCAGGUGGUUAGAGCGCACCCCUGAUAAGGGUGAGGUCCCUGGUUCGAGUCCAGGAUGGCCCACCUGAAUCAAUGCAAAAUUAAAAAUUCAAAAUUCAAAAUUAAGAAAUUGUUUUUGAAUUUUGCAUUUAGAAUUUUGAAUUGUGUUGGGGGGUUUAGCUCAGUUGGUAGAGCGCCUGCUUUGCAAGCAGGAUGUCAGCGGUUCGAGUCCGCUAACCUCCACCUUGAUAGCGUUAGCUAUAAAAAGAAUGGAUUAGAUUCAGCAACAAGGCUGUGAGCCAGACUGCUGGGUUAGUUAUCCAGCCAGAACCUUGAAAACUGCAUAGGAAUGCGAAGCAGGCAGACACAGACAUUGAUUAUUGGAAGUGUUUGCAAUGAAUAGUGGUCAAGCUAAUAAGAGCUGACGGUGGAUACCUAGGCACACAGAGGCGAAG